GACGAACGCUGGCGGCGUGCCUAAUACAUGCAAGUAGAACGCACAGUUUAUACCGUGGCUUGCUACACCAUAAACUGUGAGUUGCGAACGGGGGAGUAACGCGUAGGUAACCUGCCUGGUAGCGGGGGAUAACUAUUGGUAACGAUAGCUAAUACCGCAUAAUAUUUAUUAUUGCAUGAUAAUUGAUUGAAAGAUGCUAUUGCAUCACUACCAGAUGGACCUGCGUUGUAUUAGCUAGUAGGUGAGGUAACGGCUCACCUAGGCGACGAUACAUAGCCGACCUGAGAGGGUGAUCGGCCACACUGGGACUGAGACACGGCCAAGACUCCUACGGGAGGCAGCAGUAGGGAAUCUUCGGCAAUGGACGAAAGUCUGACCGAGCAACGCCGCGUGAGUGAAGAAGGUGUUCGGAUCGUAAAGCUCUGUUGUGAGAGAAGAACGGGUGUGAGAGUGGAAAGUUCACACUGUGACGGUAUUGUACCAGAAGGGACGGCUAACUACGUG
RNAcentral lists this ribosomal RNA (504 nucleotides) under uncultured bacterium. RNAcentral's name for it is "partial 16S ribosomal RNA". It matches the Rfam family "Bacterial small subunit ribosomal RNA", at positions 28 to 507 of the family's 1533-position model. The record is from RNAcentral.